CAAGUCUGGUGCCAGCAGCCGCGGUAAUUCCAGCUCCAAUAGCGUAUAUUAAAGUUGUUGCAGUUAAAAAGCUCGUAGUUGAAACUUGGGCCUGGCUGGCAGGUCCGCCUCACCGCGUGUACUUGUCCGGCCGGGCCUUUCCUUCUGGAGAACCUCAUGCCCUUCACUGGGUGUGUUGGGGAACCAGGACUUUUACUUUGAAAAAAUUAGAGUGUUCAAAGCAGGCCUUUGCUCGAAUACGUUAGCAUGGAAUAAUAGAAUAGGACGUGCGGUCCUAUUUUGUUGGUUUCUAGGACCGCCGUAAUGAUUAAUAGGGACAGUCGGGGGCAUCAGUAUUCAAUUGUCAGAGGUGAAAUUCUUGGAUUUAUUGAAGACUAACUACUGCGAAAGCAUUUGCCAAGGAUGUUUUCAUUAAUCAGUGAACGAAAGUUAGGGGAUCGAAGACGAUCAGAUACCGUCGUAGUCUUAACCGUAAACUAUGCCG
This 484-nucleotide ribosomal RNA is filed under the name uncultured Pleosporales. RNAcentral describes it as "SSU rRNA". It matches the Rfam family "Eukaryotic small subunit ribosomal RNA", at positions 556 to 1044 of the family's 1831-position model. Lineage: Eukaryota; Fungi; Ascomycota; Dothideomycetes; Pleosporales. The record is from RNAcentral.